This 164-nucleotide ribosomal RNA is filed under the name uncultured bacterium. RNAcentral's name for it is "partial 16S ribosomal RNA". It matches the Rfam family "Bacterial small subunit ribosomal RNA", at positions 355 to 511 of the family's 1533-position model. The record is from RNAcentral.
UAGGGAAUCUUCCACAAUGGGCGCAAGCCUGAUGGAGCAACACCGCGUGAGUGAAGAAGGGUUUCGGCUCGUAAAGUUCUGUUGUUAAAGAAGAACACGUAUGAGAGUAACUGUUCAUACGUUGACGGUAUUUAACCAGAAAGCCACGGCUAACUACGUGCCAG